AACGAACGCUGGCGGCAUGCCUAACACAUGCAAGUCGAACGAGACCUUCGGGUCUAGUGGCGCACGGGUGCGUAACGCGUGGGAACCUGCCCUUAGGUUCGGAAUAACUCCCCGAAAGGGGUGCUAAUACCGGAUAAUGUCUUCGGACCAAAGAUUUAUCGCCUUUGGAUGGGCCCGCGUUGGAUUAGCUAGUUGGUAGGGUAAAAGCCUACCAAGGCGACGAUCCAUAGCUGGUCUGAGAGGAUGAUCAGCCACACUGGGACUGAGACACGGCCGGGACUCGUAGGGAAGGGGGGAGGGGGGAAUAGAGGAAAGGGGAGCAAGUGAGGACGGCGCUAGGCGGGGUAAGUGAUGAGGCUAGGGGUGUAGAAAGGUUUUUUUACCCGGGACGAUAAUGACGGUACCGGAUAAAAAAGCCCCGGCUAACUCCGUG
Molecule: ribosomal RNA, 433 nt
Filed under: uncultured bacterium
Lineage: Bacteria
Description: partial 16S ribosomal RNA
Rfam family: Bacterial small subunit ribosomal RNA
Source: RNAcentral